GGGCUCACUUUGGCAGCACAAAAACUAAAAUUGGAAUGAUACAGAGAAGAUUAGCAUGGCCUCAGUGCAAGGAUGACAUGCAAAUUCAUGAAGCAUUCCAUAUUUUA
Chlorocebus sabaeus (green monkey) is the source of this 107-nucleotide small nuclear RNA. Lineage: Eukaryota; Metazoa; Chordata; Mammalia; Primates; Cercopithecidae. The record is from Ensembl.